CAAUAGCGUAUAUUAAAGUUGUUGCGGUUACAAAGCUCGUAGUUGGAUUUCUGCCGAGGACGACCAGUCCGCCCUCUGGGUGAGUAUCUGGCUUGGCCUUGGCAUCUUCUUGGAGAACGUAGCUGCACUUGACUGUGUGGUGCGGUAUACCGGGACUUUUACCUAGAGGAAAUUAGAGUGUUUCAAGCAGGCAUACGCCUUGAAUACAUGAGCAUGGAAUAAUAAGAUAGGACCUCGGUUCUUUUUUGUUGGUUUCUAGAGCUGAAGUAAUGAUUAAUAGGGAUAGUUGGGAGCAUUCGUAUUAACUGUCAGGGGUGAAAUUAUUGGAUUUGUUAAAGAUGGACUACUGCGAAAGCUAUUUGCCAAGGAUGUUUUACAUUGAUCAAGAACGAAAGUUAGGGAUCGAAGAUGAUCAGAUACC
Molecule: ribosomal RNA, 421 nt
Filed under: uncultured eukaryote
Lineage: Eukaryota
Description: SSU rRNA
Rfam family: Eukaryotic small subunit ribosomal RNA
Source: RNAcentral